RNAcentral lists this ribosomal RNA (473 nucleotides) under uncultured bacterium. RNAcentral describes it as "SSU rRNA". It matches the Rfam family "Bacterial small subunit ribosomal RNA", at positions 26 to 518 of the family's 1533-position model. The record is from RNAcentral.
AGGACGAACGCUGGCGGCGUGCUUAACACAUGCAAGUCGAGCGGAAAGGCCCUUCGGGGUACUCGAGCGGCGAACGGGUGAGUAACACGUGAGCAAUCUGCCCUUAGCUUCGGGAUAGCCCCGGGAAACCGGGAUUAAUACCGAAUACGACCUCGGCCGACAUCGGCUUUGGUGGAAAGUUUUUCGGCUAGGGAUGAACUCGCGGCCUAUCAGCUUGUUGGUGGGGUAAUGGCCUACCAAGGCGACGACGGGUAGCCGGCCUGAGAGGGCGACCGGCCACACUGGGACUGAGACACGGCCCAGACUCCUACGGGAGGCAGCAGUGGGGAAUAUUGCGCAAUGGGCGAAAGCCUGACGCAGCGACGCCGCGUGGGGGAUGAAGGCCUUCGGGUUGUAAACCCCUUUCAGCAGGGACGAAGCGAGAGUGACGGUACCUGCAGAAGAAGCGCGGCUAACUACGCGCCAGCAGCCGC